Molecule: long non-coding RNA, 335 nt
Filed under: Zonotrichia albicollis (white-throated sparrow)
Lineage: Eukaryota; Metazoa; Chordata; Aves; Passeriformes; Passerellidae
Description: lncRNA (ENSZALG00000005016.1)
Source: RNAcentral
CGCUUGACAUCAUCGGGCAGAGCAUUGGAUUACAGCAGGCAGGGACUGACUCGGGGAGGAGAACACGCCCCUUGGCCCCACAAGUGCAACUUCAUUUAGCAGCUCCCGGCAGAAGGAAACUGCGAGUCUGGAACCGGCUGCGAGGCUCCCGGCCGGCUUGGCAGGAGGGCAGAGAGGGCAGGAAGGUGGGAUCCAGCCGCGAUCCCUUCAUCCAUCCAUCCCCUCCUCGGCGGCCGGACCGCGGGCUGGCUAAGCUGUUGUCCUGCUGUGCAUGAAGCGUGUUUGAAGUCAUGUCCAGAAGGAAAGUCCUCUAAAUCAGCAUUUUGCAAGUGAAU